GAGGAUAUAGCUCAGUGGCAGAGUGUGUGUUUAGCAUGCACAAGGUUCUAGGUUCAAUCUCCAGUGCCUCCG
RNAcentral lists this transfer RNA (72 nucleotides) under Camelus bactrianus (Bactrian camel). It matches the Rfam family "tRNA". From Rfam's summary of the family: Transfer RNA (tRNA) molecules are approximately 80 nucleotides in length. Their secondary structure includes four short double-helical elements and three loops (D, anti-codon, and T loops). Lineage: Eukaryota; Metazoa; Chordata; Mammalia; Artiodactyla; Camelidae. The record is from Rfam by way of RNAcentral. RNAcentral also lists the same sequence under 2 other names.